GCAAACUUGGUCAUUUAGAGGAAGUAAAAGUCGUAACAAGGUUUCCGUAGGUGAACCUGCGGAAGGAUCAUUAAAGUAUUCUUCUCGGAAGGGAGGCGAGCCCAGCUCCGGUCCCCCAAAAAGGGCCGUGCAGCGGGUGAACCGCCCGACCGGAAACCCCCACAAACCCCUGUGCACUUUCCGAUGGUGGAGGGAGACUGGGCGAGAGCUCGGGAUCCUGAAACCGUCGCCACAAACCCCUUUGUAAAAAAAGAAUGAUACAGCGACCUCUGCGUUGCCUAAAUUAAUGUAACAACUUUCAACAACGGAUCUCUUGGCUCUCGCAUCGAUGAAGAACGCAGC
RNAcentral lists this unclassified non-coding RNA (342 nucleotides) under uncultured fungus. RNAcentral's name for it is "partial contains small subunit ribosomal RNA, internal transcribed spacer 1, and 5.8S ribosomal RNA". The stretch from base 1 to 73 matches the Rfam family "Eukaryotic small subunit ribosomal RNA", at positions 1759 to 1831 of the family's 1831-position model. Lineage: Eukaryota; Fungi. The record is from RNAcentral.